This is a small nucleolar RNA of Lupinus angustifolius (narrow-leaved blue lupine), 100 nucleotides long. It matches the Rfam family "Small nucleolar RNA Z157/R69/R10". From Rfam's summary of the family: Z157, R69 and R10 are members of the C/D class of snoRNA which contain the C (UGAUGA) and D (CUGA) box motifs. Most of the members of the box C/D family function in directing site-specific 2'-O-methylation of substrate RNAs. NCBI's taxonomy places the organism in Eukaryota, Viridiplantae, Streptophyta, Magnoliopsida, Fabales, Fabaceae. The record is from Rfam.
AUUUGUGCGGUGAUGAUGCAAUUUUCGUGGACUAGAGUUUCUGAUCUGGGCAAUUAACUCAGAAGUUGAUUACAAAACCCUUGGCUGUCUGAGCACAUUU